CAGCAGCCGCGGUAAUACGUAGGUCCCGAGCGUUGUCCGGAUUUAUUGGGCGUAAAGCGAGCGCAGGCGGUUAGAUAAGUCUGAAGUUAAAGGCUAUGGCUUAACCAUAGUACGCUUUGGAAACUGUUUAACUUGAGUGCAAGAGGGGAGAGUGGAAUUCCAUGUGUAGCGGUGAAAUGCGUAGAUACAUGGAGGAACACCGGUGGCGAAAGCGGCUCUCUGGCUUGUAACUGACGCUGAGGCUCGAAAGCGUGGGGCGCAAACAGGAUUAGAGACCCCUGUAGUCCCUGUCUCUUAUACA
This 301-nucleotide ribosomal RNA is filed under the name uncultured bacterium. RNAcentral describes it as "partial 16S ribosomal RNA". It matches the Rfam family "Bacterial small subunit ribosomal RNA", at positions 509 to 808 of the family's 1533-position model. The record is from RNAcentral.